Molecule: transfer RNA, 67 nt
Filed under: Lentula callani
Lineage: Eukaryota; Metazoa; Arthropoda; Insecta; Orthoptera; Lentulidae
Description: tRNA-His
Source: RNAcentral
AGCCCAGGAUGAAAUAAUUCAUUUCAUUGAUCCCACAAAACAAUAUUUUAUAAUAAAAUACCUAAGC